RNAcentral lists this long non-coding RNA (631 nucleotides) under Heterocephalus glaber (naked mole-rat). RNAcentral's name for it is "lncRNA (ENSHGLG00100047637.1)". The record is from RNAcentral. Lineage: Eukaryota; Metazoa; Chordata; Mammalia; Rodentia; Bathyergidae.
CGUCCAUCCGGAGUCAGAGGUCUGGGCUGCGAUCCACAGCCACCAUGUGUGCCGGCCUUGGGCGUGCAGCAGGCUCCACCCAGCCUGUUUCUUCGCACACGCAGUAGAGAAACUGUGCGGACUCCCACCCAGGAGUUGAUUCAACAACAGACCAGGAUCAGAGGCUGCAGGUACCAAAACCAAGGAGCGCUUUCCUUUGGGGGUCCCUAUCAGGCACUUGGAGAAGAUGUAGGAAAAGCACUCAGCACAGUAUCAGACCCAGCAGCAUGACUUCUUCCUUCUUAGGAUGCUGGCACCCCUGGAAGAAAUGGACCAAGACGCCAGAUCCUAUCUCUUUCCCCUCUGUUGUGAUGUAAUGGAUUUCUUGCUCCUGGUCCCAGUCACAAAGCCUCGAAAAGCCACCGCCUGAGAUCACGAACCCUGGCCCUUUUUUUGCCAGCAGGAGCGGGAAUUGGCUGCAGCUCCCCUCCCGAAGCUCCUUGCCUACACACCUGGCCACCUGCUCAGGGGCCCCAUCCCAGCAGCUGCACACACUCAUGCCUCUGUGUCCUUCAAACCCUCCCUUCUCUCGUACUCUCUUCGUCCAAACCUGCCUGGAUCCAGGGCCGCCUGUGUAAAUGUUGCACUGUCC